This 2599-nucleotide ribosomal RNA is filed under the name Enterococcus faecium. RNAcentral's name for it is "23S ribosomal RNA". It matches the Rfam family "Bacterial large subunit ribosomal RNA". Lineage: Bacteria; Bacillati; Bacillota; Bacilli; Lactobacillales; Enterococcaceae. The record is from RNAcentral.
AGGUUAAGUGAAUAAGGGCGCACGGUGGAUGCCUUGGCACUAGGAGCCGAUGAAGGACGGGACUAACACCGAUAUGCUUUGGGGAGCUGUACGUAAGCUAUGAUCCAGAGAUUUCCGAAUGGGGGAACCCAACAUCUUUAAUAGGAUGUUACGAUUGUGUGAAUACAUAGCACAUUCGAGGUAGACGCAGAGAACUGAAACAUCUAAGUACCUGCAGGAAGAGAAAGAAAAUUCGAUUCCCUGAGUAGCGGCGAGCGAAACGGGAAAAGCCCAAACCAGCAAGCUUGCUUGUUGGGGUUGUAGGACUCCAAUAUGGUAGUUCUUUCAGAUAGUCGAAUGACUUGGAAAAGUCAGUCAAAGAGGGUAAAAACCCCGUAGACGAAAUGUGGAAGACACCUAGGAGGAUCCUGAGUACGGCGGAACACGAGAAAUUCCGUCGGAAUCCGGGAGGACCAUCUCCCAAGGCUAAAUACUCCCUAGUGACCGAUAGUGAACCAGUACCGUGAGGGAAAGGUGAAAAGCACCCCGGAAGGGGAGUGAAAUAGAACCUGAAACCGUGUGCCUACAACAAGUCAAAGCCCGUUAAUGGGUGAUGGCGUGCCUUUUGUAGAAUGAACCGGCGAGUUACGAUUGCAUGCGAGGUUAAGUUGAAGAGACGGAGCCGCAGCGAAAGCGAGUCUGAAUAGGGCGUUUGAGUAUGUAGUCGUAGACCCGAAACCAUGUGAUCUACCCAUGUCCAGGUUGAAGGUGCGGUAAAACGCACUGGAGGACCGAACCCACGUACGUUGAAAAGUGCGGGGAUGAGGUGUGGGUAGCGGAGAAAUUCCAAACGAACUUGGAGAUAGCUGGUUCUCUCCGAAAUAGCUUUAGGGCUAGCCUCGGAAUUGAGAAUGAUGGAGGUAGAGCACUGUUUGGACUAGGGGCCCAUCUCGGGUUACCGAAUUCAGAUAAACUCCGAAUGCCAUUCAUUCAUAUCCGGGAGUCAGACUGUGAGUGAUAAGAUCCAUAGUCGAAAGGGAAACAGCCCAGACCACCAGCUAAGGUCCCAAAAUAUAUGUUAAGUGGAAAAGGAUGUGGGGUUGCACAGACAACUAGGAUGUUGGCUUAGAAGCAGCCACNNNNNNNNNNNNNNNNNNNNNNNNNNNNNNNNNNNNNNNNNNNNNNNNNNNNNNNNNNNNNNNNNNNNNNNNNNNNNNNNNNNNNNNNNNNNNNNNNNCAAAUGCUUCUUUUCUUAAGGACAAGCUGUGAUGGGGAGGGAAAUAAUAGUACCGAAGUUCCUGAUGUCACACUGCCGAGAAAAGCUUCUAGUGAGAAAACAGCGGCCCGUACCGCAAACCGACACAGGUAGUCGAGGAGAGAAUCCUAAGGUGAGCGAGAGAACUCUCGUUAAGGAACUCGGCAAAAUGACCCCGUAACUUCGGGAGAAGGGGUGCUGAUCAUACGAUCAGCCGCAGUGAAUAGGCCCAAGCGACUGUUUAUCAAAAACACAGGUCUCUGCAAAAUCGUAAGAUGAAGUAUAGGGGCUGACGCCUGCCCGGUGCUGGAAGGUUAAGAGGAGUGCUUAGCGCAAGCGAAGGUACGAAUUGAAGCCCCAGUAAACGGCGGCCGUAACUAUAACGGUCCUAAGGUAGCGAAAUUCCUUGUCGGGUAAGUUCCGACCCGCACGAAAGGCGUAACGAUUUGGGCACUGUCUCAACGAGAGACUCGGUGAAAUUUUAGUACCUGUGAAGAUGCAGGUUACCCGCGACAGGACGGAAAGACCCCAUGGAGCUUUACUGUAGUUUGAUAUUGAGUGUCUGUACCGCAUGUACAGGAUAGGUAGGAGCCGUAGAAAUCGGAACGCUAGUUUCGAUGGAGGCGCUGGUGGGAUACUACCCCUGCGUUAUGGCCACUCUAACCCGCACCACUAAUCGUGGUGGGAGACAGUGUCAGAUGGGCAGUUUGACUGGGGCGGUCGCCUCCUAAAAGGUAACGGAGGCGCCCAAAGGUUCCCUCAGAAUGGUUGGAAAUCAUUCGAAGAGUGUAAAGGCAGAAGGGAGCUUGACUGCGAGACCAACAAGUCGAGCAGGGACGAAAGUCGGGCUUAGUGAUCCGGUGGUUCCGCAUGGAAGGGCCAUCGCUCAACGGAUAAAAGCUACCCUGGGGAUAACAGGCUUAUCUCCCCCAAGAGUCCACAUCGACGGGGAGGUUUGGCACCUCGAUGUCGGCUCGUCGCAUCCUGGGGCUGUAGUCGGUCCCAAGGGUUGGGCUGUUCGCCCAUUAAAGCGGCACGCUAGCUGGGUUCAGAACGUCGUGAGACAGUUCGGUCCCUAUCCGUCGCGGGCGUUGGAAAUUUGAGAGGAGCUGUCCUUAGUACGAGAGGACCGGGAUGGACUUACCGCUGGUGUACCAGUUGUUCUGCCAAGGGCAUUGCUGGGUAGCUAUGUAGGGAAGGGAUAAACGCUGAAAGCAUCUAAGUGUGAAGCCCACCUCAAGAUGAGAUUUCCCAUUUCUUUAAGAAAGUAAGAUCCCUGAGAGAUGAUCAGGUAGAUAGGUCAGGAGUGGAAGUACAGUGAUGUAUGGAGCGGACUGAUACUAAUCGAUCGAGGACUUAACCAAU